Triticum dicoccoides is the source of this 438-nucleotide long non-coding RNA. RefSeq lists it as uncharacterized. The record is from RefSeq and is a predicted model, not a curated record. Lineage: Eukaryota; Viridiplantae; Streptophyta; Magnoliopsida; Poales; Poaceae. The transcript is spliced from 3 exons.
GCACCGCUCCGCUUUCGAUCUUCAUGGAAAACCUAUUCCGAGUCGACCCCACGCCCAAACAAUAUGUCCUAUAAAUAGCCACGACCUUCCUCUACCGAUUCCCUUCGAAACCCCUCGCCAAAAGCCAUCGUAUCGCACGCCCUCGCCGCUUGGAUCUCGCCGGAAUUCAUGAAGUUCAUCGGACGUUCUCAACGCCGCGAGCUACUUCGAGCUCAAACGCCGCCCCGGAGCACCGGAGUUCACCACAGAGACAAGCACGCUCCGUUCAACCCCGUCGCUCCCAACGACCAGAUCCACCACCCGGAGAACCCCCUCGACGAGACGCAGCUGACCCCGUCCUCUACGGUCGCUGAUUCUCGCCGGAGCCGCCGCCCCGAUCAUCACCUCUUCGUCCGAUGCUGGAGCCCUGGAGCCAGACGCCACCGUCGACGAUGAUUC